GAGAUARGUAGUUACAAGAAAAAGCUGCUAACUUUYAUCUUUAGCGGUUAAACUCCGUUAGUAUCUCU
This 68-nucleotide transfer RNA is filed under the name Thermobia sp. XL-2019. Its description in RNAcentral is "tRNA-Ser". Lineage: Eukaryota; Metazoa; Arthropoda; Insecta; Zygentoma; Lepismatidae. The record is from RNAcentral.